GAUGAACGCUGGCGGCGUGCCUAAUACAUGCAAGUCGCGCGAACAGACGAGGAGCUUGCUCCUCUGACGUUAGCGGCGGACGGGUGAGUAACACGUGGAUAACCUACCUAUAAGACUGGGAUAACUUCGGGAAACCGGAGCUAAUACCGGAUAAUAUAUUGAACCGCAUGGUUCAAUAGUGAAAGACGGUUUUGCUGUCACUUAUAGAUGGAUCCGCGCCGCAUUAGCUAGUUGGUAAGGUAACGGCUUACCAAGGCAACGAUGCGUAGCCGACCUGAGAGGGUGAUCGGCCACACUGGAACUGAGACACGGUCCAGACUCCUACGGGAGGCAGCAGUAGGGAAUCUUACGCAAUGGGCGAAAGCCUGACGGAGCAAAGCCGCGUGAGUGAUGAAGGUCUUCGGAUCGUAAAACUCUGUUAUUAGGGAAGAACAAAUGUGUAAGUAACUAUGCACGUCUUGACGGUACCUAAUCAGAAAGCCACGGCUAACUACGUG
RNAcentral lists this ribosomal RNA (497 nucleotides) under uncultured bacterium. RNAcentral's name for it is "partial 16S ribosomal RNA". It matches the Rfam family "Bacterial small subunit ribosomal RNA", at positions 28 to 507 of the family's 1533-position model. The record is from RNAcentral.